CAUCUUCCCUUUAGCAAAAUAAUGCUUUAGAUUUAGAAUCUAAAAACACCCUA
RNAcentral lists this transfer RNA (53 nucleotides) under Loxosceles sp. Gran Canaria 2. Its description in RNAcentral is "tRNA-Leu". Lineage: Eukaryota; Metazoa; Arthropoda; Arachnida; Araneae; Sicariidae. The record is from RNAcentral.